RNAcentral lists this ribosomal RNA (222 nucleotides) under Triticum aestivum (bread wheat). Its description in RNAcentral is "partial small subunit ribosomal RNA". The record is from RNAcentral. Lineage: Eukaryota; Viridiplantae; Streptophyta; Magnoliopsida; Poales; Poaceae.
AUGCGUGGCCCACUUCCAGAACUCCGGCGGCGGCUUCAAGUCAUCUGCGAACGCGGCCACCCGCGGGCAUGGUGGCUACUCAGCUCGCCACCACGGUCCUCCUCGUCCCAAGGGCAAGCAAGGCGGCCCCAGCAACGCCACCGGCUUCGGUUCACGCUCUGGCCGUCCCAACUCCACCAGCAACAGGGGGCGGCGCAGUGGAUCUGGCCGGUCUCGUCUUGA